Bufo gargarizans (Asiatic toad) is the source of this 5335-nucleotide RNA transcript. It is a transcript of the gene named forkhead box N2, with no coding region annotated. The transcript is spliced from 7 exons. The record is from RefSeq and is a predicted model, not a curated record. Lineage: Eukaryota; Metazoa; Chordata; Amphibia; Anura; Bufonidae.
GCUUGUACGCGGAUGGAGGGAGCAGCUGCUGAUCUCUGACACAUCCCCCCCCCCCUCAGCACUGCCAUAUUGUACCGGGACACGUUUCAUGCCGAGAAAUAAGGUUGCAUGGGUCCGGUUACGGGAAUGACUCCAGACAAAAACGUAGAAACCCCCGGAGCAGAGAAAGUAGCAGGAUUAAGCCAGCUUGACACCAUGGGUAGUCUACCAGAAGAGGUUGGGGCAGACAGACCAAAGGCCUCGGCAGUGGAUUGCGGCCCUGCAGACGAAGAACUGACCAACUUGAACUGGCUUCACGAGAGCACAAACUUACUGAACAACUUCAGCCUUGGGAGCGAGGGUCUGGUAUCCAAUAACCCGCUAUAUGACAUUGAAGGUGACUGUUCCCCAACCGGUUGUCGAAACCCGGAAAAAUCCUCUGCCUCCUCCAAACCUCCAUAUUCAUUCAGCCUCUUAAUCUAUAUGGCUAUUGAGCACUCCCCCAACAAAUGCCUGCCAGUGAAAGAGAUCUACAGCUGGAUCCUCGACAGGUUUCCGUAUUUCGCCACUGCCCCAACUGGCUGGAAGAACUCGGUCAGACACAACCUGUCGCUAAAUAAAUGCUUUCGGAAAGUGGAACGCAGCCAUGGUAAAGUAAAUGGAAAGGGCUCUUUAUGGUGUGUUGAUCCAGAGUAUAAGCCGAAUCUUGUACAAGCCCUGAAGAAGCAGCCGUUUUCUGCAGCACUUGCAUUGUACACCCCUCCUGCCUCCCCAACCAGUGCGUCACCUCUUUGCUUGUCGUCUCCAUUGAAACAAACUCAAGGGCACUCAGUGAAAGAUUCUGAUAUUGAUGCCGCCACUGCGAUGAUGCUCUUAAACAGCUCCAUCAAGCAUGAAGCACUGGAUUACCAGAAACCUCAACCUCUCAAGGUAGUGUUACCUAAGAAACGCAAUUACACCAGCGCAUUCAAGCAUUGUACUUCUCUGACUCUACAAGAAAACGAUUCUGCCGUCAUCAACAUCGAUCCAAAGGAGGAUCACAACUACAGCGCGAGCGGCACCGACUCUCAACGAUGCGAAUCCCGAUCCAGCGUGUCUUCCUUGUCAUCGGUGGAUGAAGUCUAUGAGUUCAUCCCAAAGAACAGUCGAGCAGGAAGCGACGGCAGCGAAGGGUUUCACAGUGAGGACGAGACCGAUAUUGACUAUGAAGAAGAUGCACUUGGGGAUAGUGGCUAUGCUUCCCAACCCUGCGUGAAUUCCCCCGGCAAAGAUUUGCAAGGCAAGAAGCUCCGAAAAGAAGCAUGCCAAGAUAUUGACGACGAGCUCAAAGAGGCAGCCGGCUCACUGCUCCAUCUGGCUGGGAUUCGCACUUGUCUGGAUUCCCUUUUAAAAACUGCAAAAGCCCAGUCUCAGAAGCAUAGAAAAUAGUGAUCCUGCCAGUCUCACAAAUUCCUUUUUGCUUUUUCCUUUUUUUUUUUUCCCCUGCCUUCAUCCACUCAUUGUGGCAAUUUUCUUCAGAUUUUAUUUGUUCUUUAGGAGAUCAAAGCCAUAAAAGACUUGAGGCUUUUUUUUUUUUUUUUUAUUUAUUUCCUUCUUUAUUUUACCCAAGAUUACUGCCUUAGAUUGAAAAUUUUAAAACACUUUUCCAGAAAAUAGUGAUAUGCUUAUCUCUGGAAAAAAUAAGCUAUUUUUGUUUAUUUUUAUUUUUUCUAAGAAUUAUUAUUAUUUUUUUUGGUAUAAUGCAGAGGAUUCCUUGAAUUGCAACAUAAACUUCACCGAAAAGGCUGCUGAUGCAACACUGACUGCUGUAUGUGCUUUUAUUUUGGCCACUGUGCAACAAAGUGAUAAAAUCUUUCAGUAUUAGUGAUAAUUUUUGCCAACUAUUUCUAUGUAGAGUCGGUGAAAAGGUUUCAGCCUGUUAACCGCUCAGCGUUUGUCCUGUUUUAAGGUGACAUUAUCAUUUGCAUGCAUGAUACCAUGGUAGCGUUUAAAGUGAUACUUUACAUAGCUUGUGUUCUAGCUUAAGCAGCCUGUAGACAAACAUUAUGUACAUUUAUAAGCCCGUUAAGCAUCAUAUUAGUGGCUGCAAUUGAUAAAAACUCUGAUUUGGGUGCUUCCUUUAAACACAUUUAUACAUGUAAAUAAUACGUGAGAUAACGUUAUUUGCCUCUAGACUGUGUGUUUUAUUUUUCACUGCCCGUUACCUGUAAAUGGUUGCCUACUUCUCAUUUAAACAGCAAAAUGGCAUAAAAAAAAUUUGGGGACCCAGAAAUACUUGAUGUGCACUUAAUUAUAAUCAUCCCAGCAGAUAGGUCACAAUUAACAGGGGCUUGCUGCAUAUUGUUUUGAGUUCAGUGUAUCAACAGUAGGCAGUCAGCUACACAGCUCCCUCUAGAGGUGGCCACAGACGGCCGUCAUUGUAACAUUUAAUAAGAAUCUCAGCACUUUUGGCCAUGCUAAACUGCAGACAGCACAAUGCUGUGGAGGGCAGUACACCUUUUUGUGGAGCUUUUUCUUAUCAGGAGUAGUGUGAAUUGUGAACUUUUAUUCUGCCAGAUUUUCCUCUUGCAAAAUCUCAGGGUGAGGCCUCUCUGACGUGCUCUCUGCAUUGAGCUGCUCCCCCACCUGGUGCUGUCAGCGUGGUUAAAAGCACUGACACAGACUCCCUUUAACUGCUGCUCUGUUGGAGAAAUUCAGCAUCCCCAUCACUGCAUAUAUACAGUAUGAAAUUAAUCAGCACAGAAGUUUGGAUCUACAUGGGUUUAUGGUGGACAUUAAUUGUAAUCUUGGUUUGCACAUUUUAACAUUUGUUAAAGGGCAUCUGUCAGCAGAUCUGUAUCCAUGACACUGGCUGACCUGUUACAUGUGUGCUUGGCAGCUGAAGGCAUCUGUGUUGGGCCCAUGUUCAUAUGUGUCCGCAUUGCUGAGAAAAAUUAAGUGUUAAACGGUUUUGCCAGGAUUUUAAUAUUUAUGACCUAUCCUCAGGAUCAGCUGGAUAAAGGGGAGGGCAUGCUCUGUGCGAGCACAGCCUUCCCUUUGUUUACCUGUUUUCCACCGACAGCGCUGCGGCAAGCAGGUAUAACUACAAGCUGUCCUAUGCGGCUCGUUCCUAUAGACUUGAAUGAAAUGAAUGGGACAGCCUGUAAUUACACCGCUGUGAUGGCGAUCAGGUAAACAAGGGAAGGCUGCGUUCGCAUGGAGCGUGGCCUCCCCUUUAUCUAGCUGAUCGACCGGGGUGCCUGAGGAUAGGUUAUCAAUAUUAAAAUGGUGGAAAACCCUUUUAAUAUCUGUUAAUGAGUCCCUAGGAGUAAGGGGGACUUUACCAUUACACCUAGAGGCUCUGCUCUCUAACAACCACGUCCUCUGCGCUUUGUCAGAGUGAGGCAUGAUGGCGUUUACACUGCCUGACUGUCAAAGUGCAGAGAGAGCAGAACCUUUAGGUAUAAUGGCAACUGCAAUGUGUGCUCUGAAAAAUGUUGCAACUGGACUGACUGGUCACCAGUAAUGGAGAAGGUUUCUGUUGGCUGACACCAAUCAUUUGUCCCCAUAGACUUAAGACUGUUGCUUACUGUUUUAAUUGCUGUGUGUAUGGCCAGCUUAAAGUUAAAUGCUUCUCCUUUUAACACCAUUUUGUCUUUGGGGUUCCUGUACACUGCGUGGCUCGUGCAUAUAACCACUAAUUGCCAGGCUGCACCUGUACUUGCCGUGGCCGGAUGUGCAUCCCACGGCCUGGCUGCACAGUGUAAGGACGCGGUUAGGUCCAACUUCAUGUGCUGAUUUCAUUUUCUAAAAUACCAUGACACAACCAUAGAGUUGGAAUGAGAAAAUUCUUACUGCCUACAGCCACCACUAGGGGGAGCUUACGGAGUGCACAUAUAUUAUUCAGUUUAAUGUAUAAAUGAUAUGCUGUGAUUUCAUCACUAUAUCCAAUGCCACAGGCAAAUUGUGUCCCAUUGAUGUCAAUUAGACUUACUGUAGGUCAUACAGUGUGUGAUCUAACGCACGCACGCACAGGUAAAAAUAAGUGACAGUCUUCUUGACGUGUUCUAUAUGGAAAGCACAGUAGAUGGCCAGAUCCAUUAAAUAAACAUGGCGGCUGCAGAUGUACAGAAAGAGUCUGACUCCAAUUUCUUCCACAUAUUCCACUGCAAAUACACAUUGCCUUUUUACAAUGUGUAUUUCUACCGUAUGAACAUAACCUUCUAUAUUAUACAGAUUAUUUUUAAUUUUUUUUAUUUUAUAGUUAUCCUUUGAUAAUUUAUGAUCUGCACAGCCGUUAGUAAAAUGUUGCAUUUCUUCAGAUCACUCGCUUAGCUUCUUGUAUCCAGUCUGAGUUCCUUCAUGUGUCAAUGCACCCCUUUGCCCCCCAUAUAAUUUGUACAACUACUGAAUCCCAAUCCACUAUAGACGCAUACUUUUUUUUUUUUUCCUCUGAAUAAUGUCCAUGCUCCUGUGUACAGUGUAACGGUGAUUAUGCUGCUCACGUGUGAGCGGAUCCUCACAUGGUCACAGCAGUUACUUAUCACUCCUUCAUUAGCUCCUUAAUUAUAGCUUCAUUUUGCGAUGAAACCUUUUUGAAGGAACUGAAUCUGCAGGGACUUUUUACAGGUUACAGAACUGCUUGAUAAUUGCAAUGGAAUGUAACCAUAUUGUAAAGGAUCGUAUUUGGCUGCUGCACAUAAUGGACCUCGCAGAUCCGAGCAGUCUUGAAAGGGGGGAAGGAAUGGGAUUUCAGCUUUCAUUUACUCAAGUGCACUGGAAAACUAAAACGGGGAUUCUGCUUUACUGGUAUCGAUAAAGUCCAGCUCCUCCUCUCAGACUGUUUAGAUACAUGAGGGCCCCUUGCUAUGUGAUGGAGCCCACAAUUUUUUUUUUUUUUUUUUUUUUUUGUUAAUACCUGCCAGUGCCAUUAUUUGUUUUAUGACCUUACUUUGAUUGAGUAAAAGUGCUUACAUUAUGAGUAUUAUGUUGCCAUCCUUUAGUGAUAUGAGAAAAAAACAUGACCUUUGUGAUUGCCAAGUCAUUGUAUCUAUUAUUUAUUUAAGAAAUGUAUCAAAAUACAUUGAUCAAUGUGAAAUAUUUGUUUAAAUUAAUCUUACACUUAUUUUUGGUUAGUUGGAGAAAGUGUAUAGGUUUGUAUAGAUGAAACUGCCAGUAGAAAACCAAUGGACUCCUCCCUCAUAUUUUUUUUUUUUCGUCCCCAGACUUAACCCCACCCACCGUAAAAUAGUUUACAGAUGUUUAGUUUUUGUAUGCUAACCUCUGUUAAUGGAAAUGUUUAUAAAGUUUAUUUUUACCAAAGAUAUGCAAUUCAUUCUGAUAAAAGUAUUGCAAAAUAAACUUUUGUUUUAUAUCA